AUUUGCAUGCGGCGGAAGCAUGGCGUAUGUAAACAAGUUGGGAGCGCUUGUAACACCUAGGUAGCGAUGCUAGGUAUUGGUAUCCGCUCUGCCUGUUUCUGACAUGGAAACUGGCAGCAAAAUGUCCAAAGGGGAUGACAAGCUACUGGGAGUUCAGCAAUCAGAGAUGUCCAGAUGUGGUGGUGAAGUGCGGCCUGCCCCUGACACUAUGCAUUGUUCAGAGAAACAGCUCAGCACCAUCCGCUAAAAACUUCACACACUUCCAGGUCAAGGACAAGAAGAUUCUGGUCUGACACCAAAGUUGACAACUCGAGAAGAACAAUGCAGAUAUCAUGCUACUGGGAGUCCCCGGUAUUGCAGGGAAAUGGUUGAGAUGAACAAACUGUACCAUAACUAUCGAAGAUCACUGACACAGCUUCAGACCACCACAAACUUUAAGAUCCUGACGCUUACAGCUUUGGGUGCAUUUCUUAAACAACACAGAACUGGAAGUAGACUUAGUAGAGAACACUGGGAUUCAUAGUUUCUCCAUGCAUAAUUAUCCGACUUACACUUAAAAUCCUCGUAUUAGAGUGUGCAUUUACGGCUUGCAUUUACUACAACCUGUUCUUCUUGCUGUUUGCUCAGUUUCAACCACAAAUUUUGAAACAGCUUUGGCUAUACAGAGGGCGUGCGUUAGUGACAUUCCUGCUGAAAUUCUGCACCAGUAGAGGUGCAGCAAUGAGUGUCGAGGACCUUCAGCAUGUGGACUACCUUGAGAACCAGGUGGUAGGCAUGGACAGCUUCAUCCACAGAAUCGACUCCGCCGAGGUCAUCUACCAGCCGAGAAGGAAGCGAGCCAAACUGAUAGGGAGGUACCUGAUGGGCGACCUGCUCGGGGAGGGAUCCUACGGCAAAGUUAAAGAGAUGCUUGACUCUGAAACACUGUGUAGGAGGGCCGUGAAGAUUCUCAAGAAGAAGAAGCUCAGAAGGAUCCCUAAUGGAGAGGCAAAUGUUAAAAAGGAGAUCCAGCUGCUGCAAAGGUUGCGACACAAGAAUGUAAUUCAGUUGGUGGAUGUGUUGUAUAAUGAGGAGAAGCAGAAGAUGUAUAUGGUGAUGGAGUAUUGUGUGUGUGGAAUGCAAGAAAUGCUGGACAGUGUCCCUGAGAAGAAGUUCCCUGUGUAUCAAGCCCAUGGUUAUUUCUGCCAGCUGCUGGAUGGUUUGGAGUAUUUGCACAGCCAGGGCAUUGUUCACAAGGACAUCAAACCAGGGAACCUGUUGCUGACCACGGAUGGAGCGCUCAAAAUCUCUGACCUGGGUGUUGCAGAAGCUCUGGAGCCAUUUGCGGUGGAUGACACAUGUAGGACGAGCCAGGGCUCUCCGGCGUUCCAGCCCCCAGAGAUUGCCAACGGCCUGGACACCUUCUCAGGGUUCAAGGUUGACAUCUGGUCAGCAGGUGUCACACUAUACAACAUCACAACCAGUUUGUACCCAUUUGAAGGUGAUAACAUAUACAAGCUUUUUGAGAACAUUGGGAGAGGAGAGUACAGUAUCCCUGCAGGCUGUGGCCCACUCCUCUCAAGCCUGCUCAGAGGAAUGCUUGAAUAUGACCCUGCAAAGAGGUUCUCAAUACAGCACAUCAGACAGCAUAACUGGGUGAGGAAGAGGCACCCAGCCACGGAGCCCCCCGUGCCCAUGCCACCCAGCGCCGACCGCAGGGACCCCUGGCGCAGCAUGACAGUGGUGCCCUACUUGGAGCACCUGCAUGGCUAUCGAGAAGUGGAUGAGGAGGAAGAGGAGGAUGAGGAUGAGCUCUUCUUUGGGGAGAAUGAUGUCAUGUACCCUCAGGACUUCACACCCGCAGGUCGGCUGCAGGAGGACAGGCUGGAGCCCAAUGGUCACCAGGGUCGCCUGAGCGCAGGCCUGGCACUCAGGAGCCUGUGUGUAAACGGAACAGAUGGGGAGAGCGAUAUGGAGAACCUCUCUGCCUGCAGGACCAGACAGAGGUCGGAGCGACUCUCCAGCUCCUCAUCAAACCCUUCGCGGAAAGGAGUUUCCACCUAUAGCCGGAUUCGCAGGCUGUCUGCCUGCAAGCAGCAGUGACCCCACACCCCAGAGCACACACACUGGACAGAUUGAGCUCCACAAAACAAUCCACACCCCGCCCCGAUGUAAUGUGGUGUCUGAAGACAGGCCAAAAUGCAGCAUACUGGAAACCUCACCAAAUCACUUGAUGGACAGAUUGCAGUGGGGAACGGCGUUUUGAGAUGGACGUGUUGACUUCAUCAACCCCAGAUAAUAUUUUGGCCACGACUUGCUGCACUACACUGAUGAUGGUGGGACCUGCACUACACUACUACUCCCUGCACUGAAGGAAACCCCUAUACUGACUUUGAUGCUUUCACCACAACCGGCUGGCCCUUCAGGUGUCAGCUGAUUGGCUGGCAGGAAAUGAGAAUAGUGAUGAUGAUAAUGAGCAAGAUGAUGCAAGAGUGGGACAGGUGGGAGAAAUGCUGAGGAACGGCGGUAUGAGACUGUGUAGCUAUUCUCUCCACACCCCCCUCCCCCCCUCACUGAAUGAAUGUAGCUUGUUUUAGACUACAACACUGUUCACCGUGCAGUUUAGUCAGUUCAAAGUGCACAUUGUGGAUGUGUAUUGGAUCAUCUAAACGGACUGAGUUAUUUCAAUGAAUGCGGUAUGUUUGCAGUUAUUUUGAAAUGAAUAAAUGGCAUGAAAUGAUGUGCAUUGAGUAGGGGAGCCACACACCACAACCAUAUCUGAUGUGGAAUGUCUGAGUUUGGGUCUAUAUUAGCCUCUGUCUGGAUUGCUGUUUUACCUGAUUGUUUUCUUCCACGUUCUUUUUAAAUAUUAUUUAUAUAAAAUGCACUCCCAACCAGCAACAGCACA
Molecule: RNA transcript, 2887 nt
Organism: Myripristis murdjan (pinecone soldierfish)
Lineage: Eukaryota; Metazoa; Chordata; Actinopteri; Holocentriformes; Holocentridae
Gene name: serine/threonine-protein kinase STK11-like
Exons: 12
Source: RefSeq, a predicted model, not a curated record